UGUUUCACAAAGAAUCACGAGCCACUAAUCCUAUUCCAACUACUCCCCCUUCAAUGCAUGAAGCAUGCACAUUAAUUUUUACUAGGUGGGUUAGUGGCUUCUUCCAUAUGGCUGAGCUCGUCGAGCCUGGAGCGGGGAAGAUUUCAAAAAUCAACAAUAAGCAUUACUUUGAGGAAUUCAUCAUGCUUCCUAUUUGCAAUUUCAACCAUUUUUUCCGGUGUCCUCAAUUUUUUCUUCAAAAAUCAAUUUAUUUCUGGCUGUCUAAAUGGUUUGCUGUUGACUGAAGGGAAAGUGGGAUUUGGAACUAGAAGCUCCUUACAAAUUUACAUUCUAUGAAGAGAUUUUUCUUUCUCAACAGUGAUCUUUUCAAGAUUCUCCAUGCGCAAUUGAUGGCCCUAGGGUGCACCUUUAUUUUCCAAAGUAUUUUCAAAUUUGAUUCAUCUAAAUCUGUUGAUGGAGAGCUUCUAUUUUGAAAAUUUUUUUCUAUGUAUAUGUGGUAAGCUUCUCUAACCUUGAAUUCUCUAUUUCUAGAAAAUUGUAAAAAAAAUUGAUCUAUUUGUUAGGUU
Arachis ipaensis is the source of this 566-nucleotide non-coding RNA. NCBI's taxonomy places the organism in Eukaryota, Viridiplantae, Streptophyta, Magnoliopsida, Fabales, Fabaceae. The record is from RefSeq and is a predicted model, not a curated record.